AUGCCAGUGUGCAGGAAGGCAAGGCAGAGGGUCCUUCAUAUUUGGAAGUGGCAUGAAAUAAGCAUAGAAUAACUUGAGAAUGGCUGUUUGCUUUCCUGAAGGUGAGUUGUUAAAGUGCGGAAGGAUUUCAAAGCAGCCCAGCUCUUAAUAGUCUGUGUAUUGUUACUACCUAGUAGAUAGCCAUUCAUGGGUUACAGUGGCAAGCUGCUGAUUGCUGCUCAUGACCAGCAGUCUGCCACCUCACGCACAGCCUGGCUCCUCCUUCUUCAGGGAAAGGAAACUGAAACAGCCUUCAGAAAGUGGAACCAGUUUCCGUCAGCUGCACUGUGAAACAUGGGGGAGAGAAAACAGGGAGAAAAGUCCUCAAUAGAAAAUGAUCUUUCUUUUAAAUUGAGAAAUUCCUUCAGUGGAGAUGUAAAACAUUAAGAAUCACCACAUUCCUUCCCUCAGUUGUUUUUACCAUGAAAUUGCAAUAAUAUAACUAAAUAAUUGAACUUUUAUUUCCAUCUUAGCAGCACCAUGAACUCUUCUAAAAGUGAAAUAUAUCAGAGAUCUUUUCUCUCUACAAAGGAUACUUUCAAUCCUCAUCCGCCACUUCAUCCUUUUCUGGGGAAUGUCAGAUAGGAUAAAACUCUCUUCUAUAAAAGAA
Long non-coding RNA from Oxyura jamaicensis (ruddy duck), 649 nucleotides. RefSeq lists it as uncharacterized. The record is from RefSeq and is a predicted model, not a curated record. The transcript has 3 exons. Lineage: Eukaryota; Metazoa; Chordata; Aves; Anseriformes; Anatidae.